Molecule: ribosomal RNA, 424 nt
Filed under: uncultured prokaryote
Description: bacterial SSU rRNA
Rfam family: Bacterial small subunit ribosomal RNA
Source: RNAcentral
UGGGGAAUAUUGGACAAUGGGCGCAAGCCUGAUCCAGCCAUGCCGCGUGGAUGAAGAAGGCCCUAGGGUUGUAAAGUCCUUUCACCGGGGAGGAUGAUGACGUUACCCGGAGAAGAAGCACCGGCUAACUCCGUGCCAGCAGCCGCGGUAAGACGGAGGGUGCUAGCGUUGUUCGGAAUCACUGGGCGUAAAGGGCGCGUAGGCGGCUUCAUGAGUCAGAUGUGAAAGCCCGGGGCUCAACUCCGGAACUGCAUUUGAUACUGUGGAGCUAGAGGUCGAAAGAGGAGAGUGGAAUACCCAGUGUAGAGGUGAAAUUCGUAGAUAUUGGGUGGAACACCAGUGGCGAAAGCGGCUCUCUGGUUCGAUUCUGACGCUGAGGCGCGAAAGCGUGGGGAGCAAACAGGAUUAGAUACCCGGGUAGUCC